This 72-nucleotide ribosomal RNA is filed under the name Mesobacillus persicus. RNAcentral describes it as "Bacillus persicus 23S rRNA. Bacterial LSU". Lineage: Bacteria; Bacillati; Bacillota; Bacilli; Caryophanales; Bacillaceae. The record is from RNAcentral.
UGAUAGGUCAGAGGUGGAAGCGCGGUGACGUGUGGAGCUGACUGAUACUAAUCGAUCGAGGACUUAACCUUA